GAGGAAUAUUGGUCAAUGGGCGAGAGCCUGAACCAGCCAAGUAGCGUGCAGGAUGACGGCCCUCCGGGUUGUAAACUGCUUUUAGUUGGGAAUAAAAAAAGGGACUUGUCCCUUCUUGUAUGUACCUUCAGAAAAAGGACCGGCUAAUUCCGUGCCAGCAGCCGCGGUAAUACGGAAGGUCCGGGCGUUAUCCGGAUUUAUUGGGUUUAAAGGGAGCGUAGGCCGGAGAUUAAGUGUGUUGUGAAAUGUAGACGCUCAACGUCUGACUUGCAGCGCAUACUGGUUUCCUUGAGUACGCACAACGUUGACGGAAUUCGUCGUGUAGCGGUGAAAUGCUUAGAUAUGACGAAGAACUCCGAUUGCGAAGGCAGCUGACGGGAGCGCAACUGACGCUUAAGCUCGAAGGUGCGGGUAUCGAACAGGAUUAGAUACCCUGGUAGUCCGCACAGUAAACGAUGGAUGCCCGCUGUUGGUACCUGGUAUCAGCGGCUAAGCGAAAGCAUUAAGCAUCCCACCUGGGGAGUACGCCGGCAACGGUG
This 539-nucleotide ribosomal RNA is filed under the name uncultured bacterium. RNAcentral describes it as "bacterial SSU rRNA". It matches the Rfam family "Bacterial small subunit ribosomal RNA", at positions 356 to 896 of the family's 1533-position model. The record is from RNAcentral.